Molecule: long non-coding RNA, 241 nt
Organism: Bufo bufo (common toad)
Lineage: Eukaryota; Metazoa; Chordata; Amphibia; Anura; Bufonidae
Exons: 3
Source: RefSeq, a predicted model, not a curated record
UAGCAGAGUCAGGAAUCCAGGAACACAAGCGGCUAUCAAGAACCUUAGCAGGACACAAGGACCUUGACACUGAGGCAUCUGGGAAGGGGGCUGAGCCACUCAUAUACGUGCAGAAGCGCUAGGAUUGGUUGGCGCGGUCACAUGAUCCAACCCAUAAAACACAGGAAGUGAAGCACGCCGGCCCUUAAGGAAAUGCUGCAGGAAACAAGCAGCAAGCAUGCUGUGGCCAGGGCUGAAAGGA